UUAAAUUAAAAUUAAUCAAGAAAUCUUAUAUAAUAUAAAGAAAUAAAUUGAUGAAAAUAAAAAUAUUUUAAAAAAAACUAUAAAAGGAAAAUAUUAUUUUAGAUUAUGAAAAAAAUAGUAACGAAAGAUGAGUCUGACUCAAUCUAAAGAUUAUUCCAACCCCUUUUUUUAAGCCAAUUUUGUAUCAUGAAGGACUCCACAAAAUUCAGCUAACAUAGAACCAUCCCAAUUGAGAGAUUCAGCAAAAGUCAUAGAAAAUUCACUUGUAUUUCUACAGAAUAAUCUACCACAGUCAAAAAAAAUUGGAUGACACAAC
Molecule: long non-coding RNA, 316 nt
Filed under: Lathyrus oleraceus (garden pea)
Lineage: Eukaryota; Viridiplantae; Streptophyta; Magnoliopsida; Fabales; Fabaceae
Description: Pisum sativum (pea) long non-coding RNA (PSAT_LNC017647)
Source: RNAcentral